Molecule: transfer RNA, 108 nt
Filed under: Nonomuraea cypriaca
Lineage: Bacteria; Bacillati; Actinomycetota; Actinomycetes; Streptosporangiales; Streptosporangiaceae
Description: Nonomuraea sp. K274 tRNA-OTHER
Source: RNAcentral
GCGGAGGGAUGUUGGUCCAGGUGGAACUGUCCUGGACGAUGAUGCCCAGAGCUGCUAAUGCGGUUUGGUGGCAACACCAUCCGGGGUUCAAAUCCCCGAUCCUCCGCA